This 77-nucleotide transfer RNA is filed under the name Pilimelia terevasa. Its description in RNAcentral is "tRNA-Met". It matches the Rfam family "tRNA". Rfam says of the family: Transfer RNA (tRNA) molecules are approximately 80 nucleotides in length. Their secondary structure includes four short double-helical elements and three loops (D, anti-codon, and T loops). Lineage: Bacteria; Bacillati; Actinomycetota; Actinomycetes; Micromonosporales; Micromonosporaceae. The record is from RNAcentral.
GGGGCGGUAGCUCAGCUGGUCAGAGCAGGGGACUCAUAAUCCUUGGGUCGCGGGUUCGAGCCCCGCCCGCCCCACCA